GGGGAAUAUUGCACAAUGGGGGGAACCCUGAUGCAGCCAUGCCGCGUGAAUGAAGAAGGCCUUCGGGUUGUAAAGUUCUUUCGGUGACGAGGAAGGUUGAUAGGUUAAUAGCCUAUCAAAUUGACGUUAAUCACAGAAGAAGCACCGGCUAACUCCGUGCCAGCAGCCGCGGUAAUACGGGGGGUGCGAGCGUUAAUCGGAAUAACUGGGCGUAAAGGGCACGCAGGCGGUGACUUAAGUGAGAUGUGAAAGCCCCGAGCUUAACUUGGGAAUUGCAUUUCAUACUGGGUCGCUAGAGUACUUUAGGGAGGGGUAGAAUUCCACGUGUAGCGGUGAAAUGCGUAGAGAUGUGGAGGAAUACCGAAGGCGAAGGCAGCCCCUUGGGAAUGUACUGACGCUCAUGUGCGAAAGCGUGGGGAGCAAACAGGAUUAGAUACCCUGGUAGUCCAUGCUGUAAACGAUGUCGAUUUGGGGAUUGGGCUUUGAGCUUGGUGCCCGUAGCUAACGUGAUAAAUCGACCGCCUGGGGAGUACGGCCGCAAGGUUA
Molecule: ribosomal RNA, 546 nt
Filed under: uncultured bacterium
Lineage: Bacteria
Description: bacterial SSU rRNA
Rfam family: Bacterial small subunit ribosomal RNA
Source: RNAcentral